AAACAAAAGACAAUCAACAACCUGUAAGAUACCCUGAUGCAUAAGGACUCACAACAGAGCACUUCCUUCAGAAGACCUCUGGUUUCUGACUCCAGGAAUCUGACUUCUGCUCCACAGCCACUCCAAGAUGACCCACAUCAUGCCUGGAGAGAAACUUUCCUACGCCAGAGUCUGGAAAAGCUGGAAGUAGACCUUCUGUCCAUCCCCUGGAGCUUGGCCUCUGAAGUCCCUGAGUGUCUUUAAUGUGCUGGUGUAUACAUUAGGGCAGCCUUUUCAAAUGUCAACUGGAAUUGACUUUGCAUCUCUUCUUUCUACUGCAAACUCCUUCAUCACAUUCAUCUGGUACUCGGCACUAGCUACCUGCGAGACAGUGGUCAGCUGUUCAUCAUUUUCUCUUCUUCCUGCACAUGUGGACAGAUGGCAUUUUCUAGACCUCUUUGCAGAUAUGUGAGGCUAUGACUGAGUUCCAGCCAAGAAGAUGCUAGCAGAGGUGAUGUAUACUUCUUCCAGACCUGGUCCAGGAAAACCUCCCUGGCAACAUCCUCCUUGCUGUCAUUCUACUUCUGGCUUAAUGCAGGCAUACCUGGCAAUCUUGGAGACCAUUUUUUCAAGAUGAUGAGGUUCAGAGAUGGGAGUCAAGAGUCUUAAUCUUCCCUUAGAGUAGAGCUGCUUGUCAGUUGGAGUAUCUGCACUGGACUUUCCAAGAGUAAGAAUUCCACCUCCAUCAUGAUUGAGCUGUCAUAUACUCCAGAGCAUGUUUGUUCCAUCAGCUAGCAUGCCUCAUGCACCACUAAUGAAGUGAGCUUUUCUGGGGCAGAGGCCCUGCUGAAAGGACUUCCUCCACCGGUGUUGUGUGUAAUCGUCCCUGCUGAGAUACGGAUUUGGAGGAGGAUUUGAUAAACCAAAGAGCAUAAACUUACUAUUUCAUUGUCAUGUUGUGACAGAUGCAUACCCUCUACACUAAAAGCUAGACCUGAAGUCACAAAAUUAGAAUUCCAUUUCAUAUUUCUCAACAUAGAAUACAUGGUUAAUCUACGGAUCCAUGUGAUAAAGAAAUCAGAGUGGAGAGUAAAUAUUUUCUAUCAUAGAGUACCUAAUAAGCAUAUUUGUAUCCUAAUUUUGUGGAUGAUUGAAAUGCAUUUUCUCGCCUAUGUGUCUCUCUUCUAUUAAUUUCUUCAUUAAUUUAAUACAUAUAUUUUGAGCACCUACUAUGUGCUACAGAGUGUUUAGGGCUCUGGAGAUAUACCACUUAAGCAAAAGUAUUCACUCACAUAGGGCUUACAUGCUAUAGCACACAAUGAAACCCAAACACGUGAAAAUGUGUGACGCUAAAUGCCAAUACGCUCUCUGAAGAAAGCCUAAGGAGGCAGCAGCUUUAUGGAGAAGGCACAUUGGAGCAGUGCCCUGGAAGGAAUGAAGGGCCUGAGCCAUAUGAACUUCCAGGGGAAGAGUAUUCCAGGCAGGAAUCACAGCAGGUGCAAAGCCCCUGUGGUGAGAGCCUACACAGCAUGCUUAAGUAGGAGUAGGGAGGUCAGUGUCAUGCAGCAGAUUGAGCGAGGUGGUAGCAUGAUGUGAAGUUGGGAGAUCAGGUUGGAUUAAUAAAUGGGCAAGAGCAGCAGAUGAUGCA
Molecule: long non-coding RNA, 1627 nt
Filed under: Piliocolobus tephrosceles (Ugandan red Colobus)
Lineage: Eukaryota; Metazoa; Chordata; Mammalia; Primates; Cercopithecidae
Description: lncRNA (ENSPTEG00000006944.1)
Source: RNAcentral